RNAcentral lists this transfer RNA (69 nucleotides) under Rattus norvegicus (Norway rat). It matches the Rfam family "tRNA". From Rfam's summary of the family: Transfer RNA (tRNA) molecules are approximately 80 nucleotides in length. Their secondary structure includes four short double-helical elements and three loops (D, anti-codon, and T loops). Further hydrogen bonds mediate the characteristic L-shaped molecular structure. tRNAs have two regions of fundamental functional importance: the anti-codon, which is responsible for specific mRNA codon recognition, and the 3' end, to which the tRNAs corresponding amino acid is attached (by aminoacyl-tRNA synthetases). tRNAs cope with the degeneracy of the genetic code in two manners: having more than one tRNA (with a specific anti-codon) for a particular amino acid; and 'wobble' base-pairing, i.e. permitting non-standard base-pairing at the 3rd anti-codon position. Lineage: Eukaryota; Metazoa; Chordata; Mammalia; Rodentia; Muridae. The record is from Rfam by way of RNAcentral.
GGGGAUUUAGCUUAGUGGUAGAGCAUUUGCCUAGCAAGCGCAAGGCCCUGGGUUCGGUCCCCAGCUCCA